GGCAGAGGUGGCUCAAUGGUUAAGGCUCUGAGUUACUGAUCAGAAGGUUGUGGGUUCAAGCCCCAGCAACGCCA
Ameiurus melas (black bullhead) is the source of this 74-nucleotide non-coding RNA. Lineage: Eukaryota; Metazoa; Chordata; Actinopteri; Siluriformes; Ictaluridae. The record is from the annotation of a GenBank genome assembly.